AGUGAACGAUGUGCAUGGUGAUGGUCCAUGUUAUGUGUUGUUGCUGAACUGUGUUUUGCAGUUUAACAGCAGUGCUCACACCACACCUGCAGCCAUAGAACAACUGGGGAUCAUAGUACUGGCCUUUGACUGUCUUUCUUUUGGCAUCUCUGCAUUGGCCAGCCUCCAAACUCUCCAACAUAA
Molecule: small nucleolar RNA, 183 nt
Organism: Nothobranchius furzeri (turquoise killifish)
Lineage: Eukaryota; Metazoa; Chordata; Actinopteri; Cyprinodontiformes; Nothobranchiidae
Source: Ensembl